GGCGGUAUUUUAGUCUAUUCAGAGGAAUCUGUCCUAUAAUUGAUAAUCCACGAUUUAAUUUACUUUUAGAAAAAAUUUAUAUAUCGUCGUAGUUUGAAUAUUUUAAAAGAAUUUUAAUGUUCAAAAUUUUUUUAUAAAAUUAAAUCAGAUCAAGGUGUAGUUUAUAUAAAAGAAGAGAUGGAUUACAUUAAAUUUAUUUAAAGAUUAAUUUUUGUAAAAUUUUAUGAAUAUGGAUUUGAUAGUAAUUUUUUUAAAAUUUUAAAAAUGAUUUAAGCUCUAAAAUAUGU
RNAcentral lists this ribosomal RNA (287 nucleotides) under Desmocerus californicus californicus. RNAcentral's name for it is "partial small subunit ribosomal RNA". RNAcentral also lists the same sequence under 1 other name. Lineage: Eukaryota; Metazoa; Arthropoda; Insecta; Coleoptera; Cerambycidae. The record is from RNAcentral.